This 77-nucleotide transfer RNA is filed under the name Deltaproteobacteria bacterium CG11_big_fil_rev_8_21_14_0_20_49_13. RNAcentral describes it as "tRNA-Val". It matches the Rfam family "tRNA". Rfam says of the family: Transfer RNA (tRNA) molecules are approximately 80 nucleotides in length. Lineage: Bacteria; Deltaproteobacteria. The record is from RNAcentral.
GGGCUCUUAGCUCAGUUGGUUAGAGUAUCUCCUUGACAUGGAGGGGGUCACUGGUUCGAAUCCAGUAGGGCCCACCA